Small nuclear RNA from Prolemur simus (greater bamboo lemur), 105 nucleotides. The record is from Ensembl. Lineage: Eukaryota; Metazoa; Chordata; Mammalia; Primates; Lemuridae.
GUGCUCGCUUUGGCAGCACAUAUACUAAAAUUAGAAUGAUACAGAGAAGAUUAGCAUGGCCCCUGGGCAAGUAAUAAGUGAAAUAAAAAAAAAGAACUUAGGCUU